CCCUGUAGCAAGUUGCGGACAAGCCGCUGACAACUUGUCAACAAGCUGGGAACAAGCAGUGCGAACACAUCCUGUGGCUGUUGACAAGUUGUUGGAACAGAAUUGCCACAAGUCUGCUGCAGGUUUGUUACAACUUGUGCGUUUUUACGCGUGUACAGCUACUACAGGAUUACUUUAGCUUUUCACUAUUAGAUCUGCAUGAUAAGCCAAUUACUGUGGGCCCUUUUUACCUAACCCACCCUGUCAACUUUCCCUGUGGGAGGAAACCGGAGUACCCGGGGAAAACCCACGGCUUUCGGCAGAGCGUUGACUUUUACUCUUUUCACAUGGGGACUGGGUUCGAGUCGCACUGAGAAG
This is a non-coding RNA of Paramuricea clavata, 357 nucleotides long. Lineage: Eukaryota; Metazoa; Cnidaria; Anthozoa; Malacalcyonacea; Plexauridae. The record is from the annotation of a GenBank genome assembly.